This 73-nucleotide transfer RNA is filed under the name Faecalibacterium prausnitzii. RNAcentral describes it as "tRNA-Met". It matches the Rfam family "tRNA". Rfam says of the family: Transfer RNA (tRNA) molecules are approximately 80 nucleotides in length. Their secondary structure includes four short double-helical elements and three loops (D, anti-codon, and T loops). Lineage: Bacteria; Bacillati; Bacillota; Clostridia; Eubacteriales; Oscillospiraceae. The record is from RNAcentral.
GCUGCGUUAGCUCAACAGGCAGAGCGUCCGGCUCAUAACCGGGGAGUUGCAGGUUCGAUUCCUGCACGCGGCA